CGGACGGGUGAGUAACACGUGGAUAACCUACCUAUAAGACUGGGAUAACUUCGGGAAACCGGAGCUAAUACCGGAUAAUAUAUUGAACCGCAUGGUUCAAUAGUGAAAGACGGUUUUGCUGUCACUUAUAGAUGGAUCCGCGCUGCAUUAGCUAGUUGGUAAGGUAACGGCUUACCAAGGCAACGAUGCGUAGCCGACCUGAGAGGGUGAUCGGCCACACUGGAACUGAGACACGGUCCAGACUCCUACGGGAGGCAGCAGGA
RNAcentral lists this ribosomal RNA (263 nucleotides) under uncultured Staphylococcus sp. RNAcentral describes it as "partial 16S ribosomal RNA". It matches the Rfam family "Bacterial small subunit ribosomal RNA", at positions 99 to 354 of the family's 1533-position model. The record is from RNAcentral. Lineage: Bacteria; Bacillati; Bacillota; Bacilli; Caryophanales; Staphylococcaceae.